Molecule: ribosomal RNA, 253 nt
Filed under: uncultured bacterium
Lineage: Bacteria
Description: partial 16S ribosomal RNA
Rfam family: Bacterial small subunit ribosomal RNA
Source: RNAcentral
UACGAAGGGGGCUAGCGUUGCUCGGAAUCACUGGGCGUAAAGCGCACGUAGGCGGCUUCUUAAGUCAGGGGUGAAAUCCUGGAGCUCAACUCCAGAACUGCCUUCGAUACUGGCGAUCUUGAGUCCGGAAGAGGUGAGUGGAACUCCUAGUGUAGAGGUGGAAUUCGUAGAUAUUAGGAAGAACACCAGUGGCGAAGGCGGCUCACUGGUCCGGUACUGACGCUGAGGUGCGAAAGCGUGGGGAGCAAACAGG